GACGGAGGGUGCAAGCGUUGUUCGGAAUUACUGGGCGUAAAGGGCGCGUAGGCGGUCUGUUAAGUUCGGUGUGAAAGCCCCCGGCUCACCUGGGGAACUGCGCCGGAAACCGACAGACUCGAGUACCGGAGAGGAGGGUGGAAUUCCUGGUGUAGCGGUGAAAUGCGUAGAUAUCGGGAAGAACACCUGAGGCGAAGGCGGGUUGCUGGGCCGACACUGACGCUGAGGCGCGAAAGCCAGGGGAGCGAACGGG
RNAcentral lists this ribosomal RNA (253 nucleotides) under uncultured bacterium. RNAcentral describes it as "partial 16S ribosomal RNA". It matches the Rfam family "Bacterial small subunit ribosomal RNA", at positions 524 to 776 of the family's 1533-position model. The record is from RNAcentral.